This is a long non-coding RNA of Mustela putorius furo (domestic ferret), 1875 nucleotides long. The record is from Ensembl. NCBI's taxonomy places the organism in Eukaryota, Metazoa, Chordata, Mammalia, Carnivora, Mustelidae.
UCUCACUUAUAUGUGGAAUCUAAAGAAAUGGAACUCAUAGGUACAGAGAAUAGAUUGGUGGUUGUUGGGCCGAGGGGGUGGGUAUGGGGGAUGGGGUUGGGAGAGAUAGGUGAAGGUUGUCAGAAUAUAAGCUUCCAGUUAGAAGAUUAAUAAGUUCUGAAGAUGUAAUGUCCAGCAUGGUGACUGUAGUUAACAAUACUAUAUUGUAUACGUGAAAGUUGCUGAGAGAGUAGAUCUUAAAAGUUCUUGUCACACACAAAUGGGCAGCUAUGUGAGAUAACGCUUGUGUUAACUAACCUUAUUGUGGUAAUUCCUUCAUAAUAUAUAUGUACAUCAAACCAUCACAGCUAACAGUGGUGUAUGUCAAUUAUACCAUAAGAAAGCUGGGGGUGGGGGGAGGAAAUACAGAUUCUCAGGCCCCACCACACACCUCCUGAAUCAGGAACUCGAGUAAGUCCUAGCCAUCCGUGUUUUCAGGGGAUUCUGCGCAGGUCAACCACGGCUUUCUACCCAUUCUAGGGAUCUCCGUGGUUACUAAGACAGGGGAUUGGGGAUUGGCAGCCAAAGUGGAGGAAGCUGGGUUGGGAGGAGUGAACUUCACCCCACAGUGCCUUUCACGGAGACUCCACCAGGAGCAAAAUCCCUGUGGGAGAAGGCGAGUCACUCCUCUGUCCCCUACGUGCUGCUGUCCUGACAGAUUUUCACCUCUGAACCCUUUUGCUAAAAUUAGAGCCCUCAGAGGAGGAAAUCAAGAGCUAUCCCAUCUUGCCGUGGAUAAAAUCAUCCUGCUGCUUUGACGGAUAAAGUGAGAUCCACAUUCCAUGAGAACUGGCAGGCUUCUGGGUGUUCUCCGUUGUCAAGGCAGCGCCUGUGGAAGACUCGGCAGGGGGGGCAGAGCAGCUUGCCACCCCAAGGAUAUACGCUGUGGCACUCUUGACAGGCAGAAAGACAGAUAUUUUUCAAAGAUGCAAGCGUCGCAGGCAAUCCUGGGGGAACAAGCACCUCAAAAGGAUGUGGCAGGGGCCGACCUGAUUGGCUGAGGGGGCGAGAAUUCUUCAUAUUUUAAAGAGCAGACUGAAGUUGGCUUUCCGAGGGACCAAGUCUGAACGGAACUCAAAAGUUUUAAAUUGUGACUAUGAAGUACUUGGUUUUAAAAGGAAGAUUUAGGGUGAGCGAAUCACAGUGCCACCGAAGUGGUGUGGAGAGGAAUUCAGAUGGAGAAAACAGAAGGAAAAAUUAAGAUGAGUCUUAGUUAAAUGGGCCACACUGUGGACCACGUGACAGGCUCCUUCUUCAGAAUUCUUCUCUGGAGCACCUGAGCCUGCAGAUGUAUCCACGUGCUGUCCUUGGAACGCAGCUCCGCGGCCCUGACUCUUUCAGCUGCCUUCGUUACCAGUGCUGGUCAGGGCUGCUUGCCCUGUGGAUGGACUGUGCGGCUGUUGGCACCAACCAAUGAAACGGGCCAGGGUGCCGGUACUGCACGUGUUAUAAGGAAGGUGUUUCACGUGGAGGUGUGAUGGGGCUUCCCCUCCCUCCCUGACCAGCAAAGGACUUGAUGCUCUUGGAACUGAAAUUAAAAUGGACAUCCUAAUUUAAAAGUUUUCAGCUUGUGACUUUUAUCUUUAUAAACAGAGGUAUACACUCAGCUUUUGCAAGUGUUUAAUUUAGGAACAUAGCCCCCCCCCCCACCAUGGCAUGAAGUUAGUCAUGGGGAAGAACAUACUCUCAAUGAUGAAGAAGCGCAAACGGAGACAAAGAGCUGUUCUUCUCCAAUGUAACAUUGACACAGGAUAUGGGACAAUACUUUAGGGUAGAAAGAUACCUGCCAAUGCUAGAGUACGGUACUUUUCUUAUAUUGGAUUUCAUAGUUCUCCC